Anguilla anguilla (European eel) is the source of this 1819-nucleotide long non-coding RNA. RefSeq lists it as uncharacterized. The transcript is spliced from 2 exons. Lineage: Eukaryota; Metazoa; Chordata; Actinopteri; Anguilliformes; Anguillidae. The record is from RefSeq and is a predicted model, not a curated record.
UUGAUUGAUUGUUUAUUGCAUUGGGAUGAGAGAGUAACAAACAGGAACAAAGAAUUUCACUGCCAUGCUAAUGUGUAUGUGAUCAAUAAACUUGACUUGACUCCGGUUGAGAGUACAAGAACCAACACAGAGUUACGGUCUGCUGACAAUAGUAAAUCAUGAGUAACUUUGAUAAGUGCGGUUUCAGUGCUGUGGUAGGGUCUAAACCCUGAUUGGAAUAUUUCAAGAAUACCGUUAGAGCCAAGGUAUGCACUAAUUUGCUUAGUAACUGUUUUCUCUAAUAAUUUUGAAAAAGUCUAUAGUUUUCCAUUUUGUUAGGUUCUAGAUUUGGUUUCUCAGGUAAUUGCUUAAUAAUUUCCACUUGUAGUGAUUCAGGUACAUAUCCUGUUACUAGGGAUGUCUUAAUGAUUUUUAGCAUGUGCUGGCCUCAUACAGGAAGGAGUUCUUUAACCAAAUUUGUAGGAAUCGGAUCGAGCAGGUAUUCAGUUUUGAGGACAAGUAGUGUAGAUAGCUCAUCCAUGCUAAUGCAUGUAAAACAGUUUAGUGCUGCUGUCUAUAUAUCUUCCCGUUGUAACCAAGCACUGGGCUAUUUAUUUAUACUAGCAGGAGUAAUGUAUGAUGGAGGAGUUUGGAGAUCAGGGGCCGUAUGUAUCAAACAUCUUAAUAAUUACACUUAAGAAUCUCAUAAGAUCUUACUUUGGAGUGAAAGCAUUCUUUGCUUAAAGUGGUCGGUAAAACAUAGUUAUCAAGCAGCUCACACUUUCUCAUAGGUAAGUCUUGAGACAUUCUCAAGAGUAACGCAAAGUGUGUUUCUGCGACAAUCACAGGUGCUGCAAACAAAAGGAUUAAGAUGAUGUCAUCAAUUGCCGAAAUUGCUAAGAGACAAGAACCAAUCAGCUUUUGGGAAAUCUGUGUUCUAUUGAUGGGUCAACAGAAGUUUUCAAUAAAGUUAAACACACCCUCGUUAUGAAAGCUCCCUUGUUGUCUAAUGUUAGUCUAAGCAAAAUGGAUGUGAAAAGAAAGCCGAAUUGGACUGUGGAAGAAACGGUGAUGUUGGUAGAGGAGGUGGAGGCAAAGAAGGAAAUAAUUAAGGGAAAAUUUAGCCCCACACUUACAAGUCGACACAAAAAAGCAGUUUGGAAGCAGAUCGCAGACAGCAUUAAUGCGAGCUUCUCCUCCACCAUUCGAAGGAAUGCAAAAAGAAAUGGCACAAUGUUUUGUCCAAAGCGCAUCAGGAAAUCUCCGCUUUCAAGAAGGCAACAUCUGGCACUGGUUCGUAGUCUACGUUAUUUAUGUAUCUAUUUGUUUAUUUAUUUAUCUACUUUAUAUCUACUUACUUAUGAGACACGUUUGUUACAUAUUGCUGAUGAACAUUAAUGUAGUUAUAUUUUUUUAUUCAGGUGGAGGUCCUGUCCCCUAAACCUUUAAGUGCAGUGGCAGAAGUAGUUCUCCGCAUCCUCUGAGAAAAUAAUGCCACAAUCAGUGGAGUGGGCGACUGUCAGGAUGCUGCACUACUCAAACUGCAGACCGUAGUAAGUAAUGCAGAUGAAAACACCAUUUCGUCCCCUCAUGAGCUGCCUGUAGAGGAACUCCCAGCUGCAACAGCACUGCUUCGAGGCCCAUCUGGCAUUCCCUCUCCAGCAGCAGGCCCAGAGCCCCUGCUCCCUGAGCCCCCACUGGCCACUGCCACUCCACGGCUCAACCCGGACGAGGUGGAGGACAUGGAUGCACUGCAGAGAGAAGAGUUGCGGAUGAGCAUAAAAGUUUUAAGGCUGAAGGAGCAUUAUUAUGAACUAAAAAUAAAAAAGAUUAAAUCUUG